CAGGAGAGUAAUCGUCCGUCCAGUUGGGUUUUCAUUUGUGAUUAUGAGAGACGGUUAGGUGACCCGUCAUUGGACUUUUCAAUUCAAAACGGGUUUAGAGGCCAAGUAUCGUGUUUGUUUCUUUAUAUCUCUCUCUUUCGAGGUCAUAAGUUUAGCUUGGUCUUCGUCGAUCCCGCGAUGAUGACGACGACGACGACGAC
RNAcentral lists this long non-coding RNA (200 nucleotides) under Hordeum vulgare. RNAcentral describes it as "long non-coding RNA (HVUL_LNC011199)". Lineage: Eukaryota; Viridiplantae; Streptophyta; Magnoliopsida; Poales; Poaceae. The record is from RNAcentral.